UACAGAGGUGCCAAGCGUUAGUCGGAAUCACUGGGCUUAAAGCGCGUGUAGGUGGGUCGUUAAGUGUCCGCGUGAAAUCCCACGGCUCAACCGUGGAACUGCCGGGCAUACUGGCGAUCUUGAGGCAUUCAGGGGCGAGCGGAACAAGUGGUGGAGCGGUGAAAUGCGUAGAUAUCACUUGGAACGCCAAUGGUGAAAGCAGCUCGCUGGGAAUGAUCUGACACUGAGACGCGAAAGCCAGGGGAGCGAACGGG
This 254-nucleotide ribosomal RNA is filed under the name uncultured bacterium. RNAcentral's name for it is "partial 16S ribosomal RNA". It matches the Rfam family "Bacterial small subunit ribosomal RNA", at positions 524 to 776 of the family's 1533-position model. The record is from RNAcentral.